AAAAUGGCAGCGAGAAACCAACCUGGAAGAAAUCAAACAAAAGACCUUAAGUGUGCAACACAUUUGUUAAAUGAUAAAUUCAGAAACAUGAGUGAGGAGAAGAAAACGAUUGUGAGGGAUUUGGGAUUCGGUGGCUUGAUGCACAUCCCACCACUAAGGGUGCAUCACCAAGUGUUAAGGGAGCUGGCUAACAACUUCAAAUUAGGGGAGAACAGACUGGAAACCGGAUACGGUUCUUUUAAAAUAACACCAA
Molecule: non-coding RNA, 253 nt
Organism: Arachis ipaensis
Lineage: Eukaryota; Viridiplantae; Streptophyta; Magnoliopsida; Fabales; Fabaceae
Source: RefSeq, a predicted model, not a curated record